UUCCUGGUCGUAGCCUGAAUGCAUGGCUUCUUUAAACGGUGGCGACACCGAAGGGCCGAGCCUACGAGUGUUUUGUACAGAGUGAAAGUGGAAAACCUACAAGAAAAGGAAAAGAAAGACGAGUUACAUACUCGAGAAACUGAAAAAAAGUUUUAAAGGCAUAGAAGAGAUAGGUGCGAUUGAAGAUUUGUGGAAUACAUUUAAGAAAGGGGUCGUGAAUGUUGCUAUUGAGUUAUGUGAACAAAAAGAU
Melitaea cinxia (Glanville fritillary) is the source of this 250-nucleotide long non-coding RNA. RefSeq lists it as uncharacterized. Lineage: Eukaryota; Metazoa; Arthropoda; Insecta; Lepidoptera; Nymphalidae. The record is from RefSeq and is a predicted model, not a curated record. The transcript is spliced from 3 exons.